CAGCUUGCUGGGGGAUUAGUGGCGAACGGGUGAGUAACACGUGAGUAACCUGCCCUUGACUCUGGGAUAAGCCUGGGAAACUGGGUCUAAUACCGGAUACGACCAUCUGGCGCAUGUCAUGGUGGUGGAAAGCUUUUGUGGUUUUGGAUGGACUCGCGGCCUAUCAGCUUGUUGGUGGGGUAAUGGCCUACCAAGGCGACGACGGGUAGCCGGCCUGAGAGGGUGACCGGCCACACUGGGACUGAGACACGGCCCAGACUCCUACGGGAGGCAGCAGUGGGGAAUAUUGCACAAUGGGCGCAAGCCUGAUGCAGCGACGCCGCGUGAGGGAUGACGGCCUUCGGGUUGUAAACCUCUUUCAGUAGGGAAGAAGCCGCAAGGUGACGGUACCUGCAGAAGAAGCGCCGGCUAACUACGUGCCAGCAGCCGCGGUAAUACGUAGGGCGCAAGCGUUAUCCGGAAUUAUUGGGCGUAAAGAGCUCGUAGGCGGUUUGUCGCGUCUGCUGUGAAAGACCGGGGCUCAACUCCGGUUCUGCAGUGGGUACGGGCAGACUAGAGUGCAGUAGGGGAGACUGGAAUUCCUGGUGUAGCGGUGAAAUGCGCAGAUAUCAGGAGGAACACCGAUGGCGAAGGCAGGUCUCUGGGCUGUAACUGACGCUGAGGAGCGAAAGCAUGGGGAGCGAACAGGAUUAGAUACCCUGGUAGUCCAUGCCGUAAACGUUGGGCACUANGUGUGGGGGGACAUUCCACGUUUCUCCGCGCCGUAGCUAACGCAUUAAUGUGCCCCGUCCUGGGGGAGUACGGCCGCA
RNAcentral lists this ribosomal RNA (809 nucleotides) under Paenarthrobacter nitroguajacolicus. Its description in RNAcentral is "bacterial SSU rRNA". It matches the Rfam family "Bacterial small subunit ribosomal RNA", at positions 76 to 890 of the family's 1533-position model. Lineage: Bacteria; Bacillati; Actinomycetota; Actinomycetes; Micrococcales; Micrococcaceae. The record is from RNAcentral.